Alligator sinensis (Chinese alligator) is the source of this 362-nucleotide long non-coding RNA. RefSeq lists it as uncharacterized. The transcript has 3 exons. The record is from RefSeq and is a predicted model, not a curated record. NCBI's taxonomy places the organism in Eukaryota, Metazoa, Chordata, Crocodylia, Alligatoridae.
AUCUUCCUUGAUGCAAGAAGAUGGUGAGUGAUGCUGCUAAAUAUGAAGAGUAAGGCAGAGAAGACGAAACCGGCAGCAGGGGGAGAACUGUAGCUUUUCACAGCCACAGGCUACUUGCAUUACAGAACAUAGUGAAGCCACUCCUCUUCUAGUGCAGACCUACCGGAAGCCUGGCCCAGAACGUCACUCUUCUAGUGGUUAGAAACCUUUUUUUCUGAUACCCAGCAAAGAGAUAUUGUCAUAUAAGCUUGGUGCUAUGUUUGUGUUUCAGAACCACUGAAAGAGAUCCCAGGAUUUUAACCAUGUACAGCUAACUGGAGACAAGUGAGGAACUGGCAUUGCUAAUUCUUUUUGCUUCACCA